RNAcentral lists this ribosomal RNA (330 nucleotides) under Triticum aestivum (bread wheat). RNAcentral's name for it is "partial small subunit ribosomal RNA". Lineage: Eukaryota; Viridiplantae; Streptophyta; Magnoliopsida; Poales; Poaceae. The record is from RNAcentral.
AUGCGUGCAGUGCACUGCUGUGGUUCCCUUUGUAAAAAUAAUAACAAAAACAUAGCAAAAGAAGUUUGUUUCAUUUUAGAUGUAGUUCAUGUGGUUCACUACCUUUCACCAUGUGGUCCACAUAAGUCUACAAAAAGGAGUAAGAAAAAAACACAAAAAAGUCAUGUGAUUCAAUUUGGCCAUUUGAAAGUGCACUCAGUAAGAAAGAGAAGACACCAUUUGCAGUGCAUUUUUUUUGCUAAUUUUACAAGGACGAGAAAUUGUAACCGAAUUCAAUAUCAUGCAACUCUUGACCCUAUGAGUAAUGAGGUCCACUUUGAAGUGUGUUGA